Long non-coding RNA from Neogale vison (American mink), 110 nucleotides. RefSeq lists it as uncharacterized. The record is from RefSeq and is a predicted model, not a curated record. NCBI's taxonomy places the organism in Eukaryota, Metazoa, Chordata, Mammalia, Carnivora, Mustelidae. The transcript is spliced from 2 exons.
CAGCUGACGCGCAUGGCGAAGACAGCGGCGCCUACCGAUGGGAGCAGCGGUUCUCAACUGGACCGGGUUGGUGGCCUGAAUGUAUUAGCUUCGCUGCGUUUGCCCAAGAG